GUGGGGAAUUUUGGACAAUGGGCGCAAGCCUGAUCCAGCGACGCCGCGUGGAGGACGAAGGCCUUCGGGUUGUAAACUCCUUUUGGAGGGGAAGAAUAAAUUGACGGUACCCUCAGAAAAAGCCACGGCUAACUACGUGCCAGCAGCCGCGGUAAUACGUAGGUGGCGAGCGUCACUCGGAAUUACUAGGCGUAAAGCGUAUGUAGGGGGUUAGAUAAGUCUAUGGUGAAAUUUCCUGGCUUAACUGGGAAGGGACAUAGAUACUAUCUGGCUUGAGUGUGGGAGGGGGAGACGGAAUUCCUGGUGUAGCGGUGAAAUGCGUAGAUAUCAGGAGGAACACCGAUGGCGAAAGCAGUCUCCUGGCCCAAUACUGACACUGAGGUACGAAAGCUAGGGUAGCAAACAGGAUUAGAAACCCUUGUAGUCC
Molecule: ribosomal RNA, 427 nt
Filed under: uncultured bacterium
Lineage: Bacteria
Description: partial 16S ribosomal RNA
Rfam family: Bacterial small subunit ribosomal RNA
Source: RNAcentral